AUUGAACGCUGGCGGUAUGCUUAAGACAUGCAAGUCGUGCGGUAGAAGGCUUCGGCCUUUGAGAGCGGCGGACGGGUGAGUAACACGUGGGAAUCUGCCUAUUAGUGGGGGACAGCCCAGCGAAAGCUGGAUUAAUACCGCAUACGCCCUACGGGGGAAAGCAGCAAUGCGCUAAUAGAUGAGCCCGCGUAAGAUUAGCUAGUUGGUAAGGUAAAGGCUUACCAAGGCGACGAUCCGUAGCUGGUCUGAGAGGAUGAUCAGCCACACUGGAACUGAGACACGGUCCAGACUCCUACGGGAGGCAGCAGUGGGGAAUAUUGGACAAUGGGGGCAACCCUGAUCCAGCCAUGCCGCGUGUGUGAAGAAGGCCUUCGGGUUGUAAAGCACUUUUGUUGGGGAAGAAACCGGCCGGGUUAAUACCCUGGUUGAAUGACGGUACCCAAAGAAUAAGCACCGGCUAACUUCGUG
RNAcentral lists this ribosomal RNA (468 nucleotides) under uncultured bacterium. RNAcentral's name for it is "bacterial SSU rRNA". It matches the Rfam family "Bacterial small subunit ribosomal RNA", at positions 30 to 507 of the family's 1533-position model. The record is from RNAcentral.